This 639-nucleotide ribosomal RNA is filed under the name uncultured Pseudomonadota bacterium. RNAcentral describes it as "bacterial SSU rRNA". It matches the Rfam family "Bacterial small subunit ribosomal RNA", at positions 54 to 685 of the family's 1533-position model. Lineage: Bacteria; Pseudomonadati; Pseudomonadota. The record is from RNAcentral.
CAUGCAAGGUCGAACGGCAGCACGGGAGCUUGCUCCUGGUGGCGAGUGGCGAANGGGUGAGUAAUACAUCGGAACGUACCCUGAAGUGGGGGAUAACGUAGCGAAAGUUACGCUAAUACCGCAUAUUCUGUGCGCAGGAAAGAGGGGGAUCGCAAGACCUCUUGCUUUAGGAGCGGCCGAUGUCGGAUUAGCUGGUUGGUGAGGUAAAGGCUCACCAAGGCGACGAUCCGUAGCGGGUCUGAGAGGAUGAUCCGCCACACUGGGACUGAGACACGGCCCAGACUCCUACGGGAGGCAGCAGUGGGGAAUUUUGGACAAUGGGCGCAAGCCUGAUCCAGCCAUGCCGCGUGAGUGAAGAAGGCCUUCGGGUUGUAAAGCUCUUUCGGUGGGGAAGAAAUUGCUUCGGCUAAUACCUGGAGUAGAUGACGGUACCCGCACAAGAAGCACCGGCUAACUACGUGCCAGCAGCCGCGGUAAUACGUAGGGUGCGAGCGUUAAUCGGAAUUACUGGGCGUAAAGCGUGCGCAGGCGGUUGUAUAAGUCAGAUGUGAAAUCCCCGGGCUCAACCUGGGAACUGCAUUUGAGACUGUACGGCUAGAGUGUGGCAGAGGGGGGUGGAAUUCCACGUGUAGCAGUGAA